This is a long non-coding RNA of Triticum dicoccoides, 459 nucleotides long. RefSeq lists it as uncharacterized. The transcript is spliced from 2 exons. NCBI's taxonomy places the organism in Eukaryota, Viridiplantae, Streptophyta, Magnoliopsida, Poales, Poaceae. The record is from RefSeq and is a predicted model, not a curated record.
GACCCCGUGAUCGGUCUGCGUCAGGGUAUACAUGGGCGUCACCACCAGCCAGCUCGACGAGCUCGCCGCUGAGACCGCCGCCCUGCUCACCGCCUCCCAGCCAGACUAUGCCUCCAUGAAUAUUAGCGAGACUGGCUAAAUUCUGAACAUGUUCCAUGUGAGAGAAAUAGCAUGUUGAUUUCAUCUUGAAAUAAUCAUAGCUGAGGGACGAGCUUCGUAACUAAGGGUCAUGUGUAGAGCUGAAGGAAGAAGUUGCGAGGCUUGGAACUCUCCUUGUGAAGGGCUCAGGGAUAGUAGUGAGGACAAUGCCUCUUUAGUUGUAAUUGUAAUACUCCUGAUCUGCAAGUAAACACUCCUGUGAUACUAAAUGUUGGUUGUUAGUACAGAGGUGGUGACAUUAGUUGGUUCUCUGGUAUUGAUUUCAUGAUUUGUGGUUAAUACAUGAUGUAAUACAAUCCA